This 249-nucleotide ribosomal RNA is filed under the name uncultured archaeon. Its description in RNAcentral is "partial 16S ribosomal RNA". It matches the Rfam family "Archaeal small subunit ribosomal RNA", at positions 478 to 727 of the family's 1478-position model. The record is from RNAcentral.
GGCAGCUCAAGUGGUCGUCGUUUUUAUUGGGCCUAAAACGUCCGUAGCCUGUUCAGUAAACCCGUGGGUAAAUCAACCAGCUUAACUGGUUGAAUUCUGCGGAGACUGCUGGACUAGGGACCGGGAGAGGUAUGAGGUACUCUCAGGGUAGGGGUAAAAUCCUGUCAUCCUGAGAGGACCACCUGUUGCGAAGGCGUCAUACUGGAACGGAUCCGACGGUCAGGGACGAAGCCUAGGGGCACGAACCGG